CCUACGGGCGACAGCAGUGGGGGAUAUUGCACAAUGGGGGAAACCCUGAUGCAGCGACGCCGCGUGGGUGAAGAAGCGCCUCGGCGCGUAAAGCCCUGUCAGCAGGGAAGAAAAUGACGGUACCUGAAGAAGAAGCCCCGGCUAACUACGUGCCAGCAGCCGCGGUAAUACGUAGGGGGCAAGCGUUAUCCGGAUGUACUGGGGGUAAAGGGGGCGCAGACGGCGAUGCAAGCCAGGAGUGAAAGCCCGGGGCCCAACCCCGGGACUGCUCGUGGAACUGCGUGGCUAGAGUGCAGGAGGGGCAGGCGGAAUUCCUGGUGUAGCGGUGAAAUGCGUAGAUAUCAGGAGGAACACCGGUGGCGAAGGCGGCCUGCUGGACUGCAACUGACGUUGAGGCCCGAAAGCGUGGGGAGCAAACAGGAUUAGAUACCCUUGUAGUC
Molecule: ribosomal RNA, 440 nt
Filed under: uncultured bacterium
Lineage: Bacteria
Description: partial 16S ribosomal RNA
Rfam family: Bacterial small subunit ribosomal RNA
Source: RNAcentral